This 75-nucleotide transfer RNA is filed under the name Algoriphagus sp. Its description in RNAcentral is "tRNA-Val". It matches the Rfam family "tRNA". Rfam says of the family: Transfer RNA (tRNA) molecules are approximately 80 nucleotides in length. Their secondary structure includes four short double-helical elements and three loops (D, anti-codon, and T loops). Further hydrogen bonds mediate the characteristic L-shaped molecular structure. tRNAs have two regions of fundamental functional importance: the anti-codon, which is responsible for specific mRNA codon recognition, and the 3' end, to which the tRNAs corresponding amino acid is attached (by aminoacyl-tRNA synthetases). tRNAs cope with the degeneracy of the genetic code in two manners: having more than one tRNA (with a specific anti-codon) for a particular amino acid; and 'wobble' base-pairing, i.e. permitting non-standard base-pairing at the 3rd anti-codon position. The record is from RNAcentral. Lineage: Bacteria; Pseudomonadati; Bacteroidota; Cytophagia; Cytophagales; Cyclobacteriaceae.
GGGAGUUUAGCUCAGCUGGUUCAGAGCAUCUGCCAUACAAGCAGAGGGUCGGGGGUUCGAAUCCCUCAACUCCCA